Molecule: non-coding RNA, 138 nt
Filed under: Blautia pseudococcoides
Lineage: Bacteria; Bacillati; Bacillota; Clostridia; Lachnospirales; Lachnospiraceae
Also listed under: 1 other name
Description: Blautia sp. YL58 FMN riboswitch aptamer (RFN element)
Rfam family: FMN riboswitch aptamer (RFN element)
About the family: The RFN element is a highly conserved domain that is found frequently in the 5'-untranslated regions of prokaryotic mRNAs that encode for flavin mononucleotide (FMN) biosynthesis and transport proteins. This element is a metabolite-dependent riboswitch that directly binds FMN in the absence of proteins.
Source: Rfam by way of RNAcentral
UGAAGUCUUUGUGGCAGGGUGUAAGUCCCUACCGAUGGUAUAGUCCAUGACCCGCUUUGGCGGCUGAGCCGGUGACUCCUUUUGUAUGAUAGGGGAAUUCCGGCACCGACGGUAUAGUCCGGAUGAGAAAAGACAUUU